CCUACGGGAGGCAGCAGUGGGGAAUAUUGCACAGUGGGGGAAACCCUGAUGCAGCGACGCCGCGUGAAGGAAGAAGGUCUUCGGAUCGUAAACUUCUAUCAGCAGGGAAGAAGGAAGUGACAGUACUUGAAUAAGAAGCCCCGGCUAACUACGUGCCAGCAGCCGCGGUAAUACGUAGGGGGCUAGCGUUAUCCGGAAUUACUGGGCGUAAAGGGCGCGUAGGCGGUCCUGUAAGUCAGAUGUGAAAGCCCGGGGCUCAACCCCGGAAGUGCAUUUGAUACUAUAGGACUUGAGUAUGGGAGAGGGAAGUGGAAUUCCUGGUGUAGCGGUGAAAUGCGUAGAUAUCAGGAGGAACACCGGUGGCGAAGGCGACUUCCUGGACCAAUACUGACGCUGAUGCGCGAAGGCGUGGGGAGCAAACAGGAUUAGAUACCCGUGUAGUC
This 443-nucleotide ribosomal RNA is filed under the name uncultured bacterium. RNAcentral's name for it is "bacterial SSU rRNA". It matches the Rfam family "Bacterial small subunit ribosomal RNA", at positions 338 to 795 of the family's 1533-position model. The record is from RNAcentral.